UAUCGGUCCCCUCGCAACGACAAGUUGCAAACUCCGCCAGGCCCGGAAGGGAGCAACGGUAGCAAUGUAGUCGUGUGCCGAGGUGUGGCUGGUGGGG
This 97-nucleotide signal recognition particle RNA is filed under the name Gammaproteobacteria bacterium. RNAcentral's name for it is "signal recognition particle sRNA small type". It matches the Rfam family "Bacterial small signal recognition particle RNA". Rfam says of the family: The signal recognition particle (SRP) is a universally conserved ribonucleoprotein involved in the co-translational targeting of proteins to membranes. Archaeal SRP consists of a 7S RNA and homologues of the eukaryotic SRP19 and SRP54 proteins. Lineage: Bacteria; Pseudomonadati; Pseudomonadota; Gammaproteobacteria. The record is from RNAcentral.